RNAcentral lists this ribosomal RNA (492 nucleotides) under uncultured bacterium. RNAcentral describes it as "partial 16S ribosomal RNA". It matches the Rfam family "Bacterial small subunit ribosomal RNA", at positions 29 to 507 of the family's 1533-position model. The record is from RNAcentral.
AGUGAACGCUGGCGGUAGGCCUAACACAUGCAAGUCGAACGGCAGCACAGUAAGAGCUUGCUCUUACGGGUGGCGAGUGGCGGACGGGUGAGGAAUACAUCGGAAUCUACUUUUUCGUGGGGGAUAACGUAGGGAAACUUACGCUAAUACCGCAUACGACCUACGGGUGAAAGCAGGGGAUCUUCGGACCUUGCGCGAUUGAAUGAGCCGAUGUCGGAUUAGCUAGUUGGCGGGGUAAAGGCCCACCAAGGCGACGAGCCGUAGCUGGUCUGAGAGGAUGAUCAGCCACACUGGAACUGAGACACGGUCCAGACUCCUACGGGAGGCAGCAGUGGGGAAUAUUGGACAAUGGGCGCAAGCCUGAUCCAGCCAUACCGCGUGGGUGAAGAAGGCCUUCGGGUUGUAAAGCCCUUUUGUUGGGAAAGAAAAGCAGCAGGUUAAUACCCCGCUGUUCUGACGGUACCCAAAGAAGAAGCACCGGCUAACUUCGUG